UACGUAGGGGGCAAGCGUUGUCCGGAUUUACUGGGCGUAAAGGGUAUGCAGGCGGCCAAAUAAGUCAGGUGUGAAAUCCUAUAGCUCAACUAUAGUAAGCACUUGAAACUGUAUGGCUUGAGUCAAGGAGAGGAAAGUGGAAUUCCUAGUGUAGUGGUGAAAUACGUAGAUAUUAGGAGGAAUACCAGUGGCGAAGGCGACUUUCUGGACUUGUACUGACGCUGAGGUACGAAAGCACGGGGAGCAAACAGG
RNAcentral lists this ribosomal RNA (252 nucleotides) under uncultured bacterium. RNAcentral describes it as "partial 16S ribosomal RNA". It matches the Rfam family "Bacterial small subunit ribosomal RNA", at positions 524 to 776 of the family's 1533-position model. The record is from RNAcentral.